RNAcentral lists this ribosomal RNA (408 nucleotides) under uncultured bacterium. Its description in RNAcentral is "partial 16S ribosomal RNA". It matches the Rfam family "Bacterial small subunit ribosomal RNA", at positions 28 to 526 of the family's 1533-position model. The record is from RNAcentral.
GACGAACGCUGGCGGCGUGCUUAACACAUGCAAGUCGAACGAAGUGGCGAACGGGUGAGUAACGCGUAAUCAACCUGCCCUUCAGAGGGGGACAACAGUUGGAAACGACUGCUAAUACCGCAUACUUCCGGCGGGGCUUGCGUCUGCUUGGCUAGUUGGAGGGGUAACGGCCCUCCAAGGAGAUGACCAGUAGCCGGUCUGAGAGGAUGAACGGCCACAGUGGGACUGAGACACGGCCCAGACUCCUACGGGAGGCAGCAGUGGGGAAUCUGCCGCAAUGGACGAAAGUCUGACGGAGCAACGCCGCGUGAGUGAUGACGGCCUUCGGGUUGUAAAGCUCUGUUAAUCGGGACGCGGUACCGGAAGAGAAAGCCACGGCUAACUACGUGCCAGCAGCCGCGGUAAUAC